GCGAGCUCGCGCUGGAGCUCUUCUCGCGUCUUGGCGAUGGCGUCGUCGCCGCCUUCCAGCCCAAUGCGAGGACUUUCCUGGCGGCUCUCGUGGCGUGCUCGAGCCUGGCAGCCAAGGAAGAUGGUCAGUGGAUCGGUGGGAAGAUCGUUAAGUUGAAGUACCUGGAGAGAGCAAUGGAGAUCCACGCCCGAGCUAGCCGGUGCUGCGACGACACGGAUGUUUUCGUUGCCAAUGCUCUCGUCGACUUGUACGCCAAG
This 257-nucleotide long non-coding RNA is filed under the name Selaginella moellendorffii. RNAcentral describes it as "long non-coding RNA (SMOE_LNC001814)". The record is from RNAcentral. Lineage: Eukaryota; Viridiplantae; Streptophyta; Lycopodiopsida; Selaginellales; Selaginellaceae.